CCUUUGGAGUGUUAUACCAAAUGUGAGUAGUAUAUUCUUAGGGAUUAUGAAAACAGACACGUUGAAUAAGGAA
This 73-nucleotide non-coding RNA is filed under the name unclassified sequences. Its description in RNAcentral is "RAGATH-18 RNA". It matches the Rfam family "RAGATH-18 RNA". From Rfam's summary of the family: Actinobacteria, Firmicutes, Fusobacteria, Thermotogae (1 example). Nearby to self-cleaving ribozyme genes The record is from Rfam by way of RNAcentral.